Molecule: transfer RNA, 72 nt
Filed under: Proteromonas lacertae
Lineage: Eukaryota; Bigyra; Opalinata; Proteromonadidae
Description: tRNA-Gly
Rfam family: tRNA
About the family: Transfer RNA (tRNA) molecules are approximately 80 nucleotides in length. Their secondary structure includes four short double-helical elements and three loops (D, anti-codon, and T loops). Further hydrogen bonds mediate the characteristic L-shaped molecular structure. tRNAs have two regions of fundamental functional importance: the anti-codon, which is responsible for specific mRNA codon recognition, and the 3' end, to which the tRNAs corresponding amino acid is attached (by aminoacyl-tRNA synthetases). tRNAs cope with the degeneracy of the genetic code in two manners: having more than one tRNA (with a specific anti-codon) for a particular amino acid; and 'wobble' base-pairing, i.e. permitting non-standard base-pairing at the 3rd anti-codon position.
Source: RNAcentral
GCGAAUAUAUAUCAAUGGUUAGAUAAGUUGUCUUCCAAACAGCGUAUAUGGGUUCGAUUCUCAUUAUUCGCA